RNAcentral lists this ribosomal RNA (233 nucleotides) under uncultured bacterium. Its description in RNAcentral is "partial 16S ribosomal RNA". It matches the Rfam family "Bacterial small subunit ribosomal RNA", at positions 100 to 334 of the family's 1533-position model. The record is from RNAcentral.
CGGGACGGGUGGGUAAUGUCUGGGAAACUGCCUGAUGGAGGGGGAUAACUGCUGGAAACGGUAGCUAAUACCGCAUAACGUCGCAAGACCAAAGAGGGGGACCUUCGGGCCUCUUGCCAUCGGAUGUGCCCAGAUGGGAUUAGCUAGUAGGUGGGGUAACGGCUCACCUAGGCGACGAUCCCUAGCUGGUCUGAGAGGAUGACCAGCCACACUGGAACUGAGACACGGUCCAG